ACAUCAAUAGCAUAAAUUUUUAUGAUUGCAUUAACUAUUUUUUUUAAAAAAAAAACCAAUGCCUCGACCUCUCUCACGAUUUUCUCUCAGACCUCACUUGCAAUUUUUUUUUAAAGAUAUUUGAAUAUUAUUAAUACAAUUGACAGCCGUAGGGUAUACGAUUGAAGCCUCCCUCUACUGCAAUUCAUCUUCUCUUCCUCUGUUUUCUAUCUACUAAAUAAUAAAUAAGCUGCUUUUUUUUUUCCAAGUUUCUAAUGUAAAUUUGAAGGAACAGUAAAUAUAUGUGUUGGAUCUUUUGUUUUUUUUUGAACUGAUAUAUGUUGGAUCUUAAAUAUAAAUAUAUAUAUAUAAUAUUUUUUUGAUAUACAAAGGAAAUUUUGAAAUUAUUUUUUUUGGUGGAAAUCGAUUUUCAGAAUAGGAAAGUUAGCGAAAGUUAGCAGGAGGCACAAAGCUCAUGACGAAAUUGUGACUCUAUACAAGAAGUUAGCAGUUGAAAUAGGUUUUGCAUUAAUGCUAGAAUAGAGUAUGUGCAUUCCAAAGGGUUCUUGCAUAGAGAUGUCAAACCAGAUAACUUCCUAAUGGGUCUUGGCAGGAAAGCAAAUCAGGUUUACAUUAUAGAUUUUGGUCUUGCAAAAAGAUACCGGGAUCCCACCUCAAACAGACACAAUCCUUACAAGUCAAUUAUGUGACCCAAUUAGAAGCUAUAUUCACUUUUGAAUUUGGCAUUCGUGCUGCUCUUUUCUUGAGAGAGUUUUAUUUGUACUCAUAUCAAUUUAAUAUUUGGAGUCACCAAAACUUUAAAUAUUAUGUGGUUUCACAACUAUUAAGGGUCAGUUUUGGAAAGGAAUACAAUACAAUAGUAUAUACAUAGGAUACUAAAGAGAAUUGGAGAGUACUCAAUGUAUUGAGUGAAUGGAAUCUCUAUUUGCCUAGGGUCAGUUUUGUACUUUCUUGUCACUGAGUUCAUAUUGAAAAAGUAGUUAAAUAAUUAUACUAAUAUUAUUUUUUUUGAAAAAAAUUACUAUUAUGUUUUCUUUUUUAUAAAAUUUUAAUCUGUUUUCUUUUAUUCUUUUUUAAAUUAUAUAUUUCUUUUCAUAUAAUAAACAUUUUUUUUAAACAGUAUAUUUUUAAAUAAAUUAUAUAUAAUGUUGUCAUCAAAAAUAAAUAUUCAAAAUUAUAAAAUAUUAUUUAAA
Cannabis sativa is the source of this 1193-nucleotide long non-coding RNA. RefSeq lists it as uncharacterized. The record is from RefSeq and is a predicted model, not a curated record. NCBI's taxonomy places the organism in Eukaryota, Viridiplantae, Streptophyta, Magnoliopsida, Rosales, Cannabaceae. The transcript has 3 exons.